UUCCUGGCAGUCCAGUAGUUAGGACUUGGCACUGUCACUGCCAUGGCCUGGGUUCAAUCCCUGCUCAGGGAA
RNAcentral lists this transfer RNA (72 nucleotides) under Ovis aries (sheep). It matches the Rfam family "tRNA". From Rfam's summary of the family: Transfer RNA (tRNA) molecules are approximately 80 nucleotides in length. Their secondary structure includes four short double-helical elements and three loops (D, anti-codon, and T loops). The record is from Rfam by way of RNAcentral. Lineage: Eukaryota; Metazoa; Chordata; Mammalia; Artiodactyla; Bovidae.